AUUUGCAAGCCAAGUUAAACCAGUAUCUCCUAUGAUUUCCAAACCUCAAUAGAUAUUUCAUAUAACCCUGAUGUGACAUGCUUUUAUAUCCUCUUCAAAGCUUUGACUCUUUUAUAUGAAUUGCAUGAAGAAAACCCAAAAAACCUUUGAUUGUGCCUCUUGAAUACAAAUUUCUCUAGUAGAUUUCUCAUUCAACAAUAUUGAGAAUAGCAUUCCCAUCUUUCUUUAGAUUCAUCAUCUUACACGAAGAUCCUGUUGUUUGCAUGCAUCUAAGUAAAUCAAUACCUUUAGAUUUCCUCUCCUUGUUAGCAAUAUUAUAAAUUUCCCUCACCUUCCUUUCAAUAUAGUUUAUCAUGUGAAUUAUCAAAUGAUGUAUAUUCCGCCUUACCAGUCCUUCUGCAUCUUUCUUAGCCUUCUUAUAUCUUUCAUAAUCUUAAAUAUCAUUCAUAAUUUUCUAUUUUUUAAAAUAAAUUCUUCUUGCCUUAUUGCCUACAGUACAUUAUUAUUGCA
RNAcentral lists this long non-coding RNA (510 nucleotides) under Elaeis guineensis (African oil palm). RNAcentral's name for it is "long non-coding RNA (EGUI_LNC076881)". The record is from RNAcentral. Lineage: Eukaryota; Viridiplantae; Streptophyta; Magnoliopsida; Arecales; Arecaceae.